This 386-nucleotide long non-coding RNA is filed under the name Eucalyptus grandis. RNAcentral's name for it is "long non-coding RNA (EGRA_LNC005122)". Lineage: Eukaryota; Viridiplantae; Streptophyta; Magnoliopsida; Myrtales; Myrtaceae. The record is from RNAcentral.
UAGAAUCUUCAGCAGGAGUCACGAGCUGGAAUGGCAACACCAGUCCACAUGGUCAAUAGCUGACGCAGGAAUUAGCAGCUUCCGAGCACUCAGAUCAAGCUCUAGAGCUCUAGUUGAAUCCGUGAAGGAUAUGUUAAGCCCUGUAAGCUCUGCUACAAGGAAGCAAAGUCAACACAGCAGGAAUAUUUCCAAAACUACAGAUGCAACAAACAUUACAGAGCAGAAAUUGAGAAGGAAGCCAACCUGGAUUUGGACUUCUUCCGAAGUUCCUAUUAUACCUUAUGCAGGGAGAGUUUUCCUUUCGAGAAAUGUCAGCAAGAUUCUGUAUUGGCUUCAGCUCUUAUCUGCAAUAGCCUGCGUCGUGCUCUCAUUGAUGAAGCUCAUCA